Juglans microcarpa x Juglans regia is the source of this 445-nucleotide long non-coding RNA. RefSeq lists it as uncharacterized. NCBI's taxonomy places the organism in Eukaryota, Viridiplantae, Streptophyta, Magnoliopsida, Fagales, Juglandaceae. The transcript is spliced from 4 exons. The record is from RefSeq and is a predicted model, not a curated record.
UUUCUCUCUACCUGCAAAUUAAUCAAUACCCACCCAUUUCUGUUGCCACACAGCUGUCCUCUUCCACUGAAAACCACCAAUGACAGCAAAUCUGCCUCCACCGAUUUGGCGCCCGCGGCUAGCAUGUUCUACAUUUCCUCUUGGCACGGGUUUCGUUGAUCGCGUCCUCUCCAUCCUUUCCUCCACUCGGUUGUUGCCGAUUAACAUUGGUGUCAAAUUGUGUUACUGGUUUGUGAAUUUGUUGUUGGGUAAAGCAACGUAAUUUGCAUCGAAAUGGAGGACCCCUUUAUCCAUCAGUUUCUGUUUCACAUGGGUUUGAGAGCUGUAAAUGGAGGACCAUGGAAUGCCCAUUUAAACAUGCCUAUGGGUAGGAACUUUCCUAGUGAACGCUUGCUACUAGUGAAUGAGAUGCUUGGUUCUAUUGAUGAAAAUGAGCCGCUUCAGG